RNAcentral lists this long non-coding RNA (429 nucleotides) under Phasianus colchicus (ring-necked pheasant). RNAcentral's name for it is "lncRNA (ENSPCLG00000021100.1)". The record is from RNAcentral. Lineage: Eukaryota; Metazoa; Chordata; Aves; Galliformes; Phasianidae.
UUUCUCACAUCCCAGGUGAGUGCUCUAAUAACAGCUUUGGCUCUCCCAGGGUGGGUCUUUUGAAGUUCCAUCUUCAGGUUAUUCUAAUUUAAGUAAUUGUUUAAUGAGUCAGGAGAAGACUGAUUCUUAGCUUGAACAUUCAAGUGUGAUGUGAGAGGCUGGGUCUGGCUUUGUUUGGUUGCAGAUUCUUCUUCCUCACGUUGCUGAGUACGAUAUGUUACGACCUUCAGUACCUUUCCUGUGUCUUUUAAGGAUUUCCUCAGCCAGGGAACACAUUCGUUGUUUUAAGAGUAACUGGUAAGAAUACUUAUUUGUUAUCAUAACAUUUUCUUUACUUAUGCAUCUGAAUUUUUAGUUUUUUUUUUUCUCCUGUAUUAAGAAAUACAUAAAAAUGAGGUCCCUAAAUUAGAUUUAAAAAUCUGUUCUCAC